RNAcentral lists this transfer RNA (70 nucleotides) under Spermophilus dauricus (Daurian ground squirrel). It matches the Rfam family "tRNA". From Rfam's summary of the family: Transfer RNA (tRNA) molecules are approximately 80 nucleotides in length. Their secondary structure includes four short double-helical elements and three loops (D, anti-codon, and T loops). Further hydrogen bonds mediate the characteristic L-shaped molecular structure. tRNAs have two regions of fundamental functional importance: the anti-codon, which is responsible for specific mRNA codon recognition, and the 3' end, to which the tRNAs corresponding amino acid is attached (by aminoacyl-tRNA synthetases). tRNAs cope with the degeneracy of the genetic code in two manners: having more than one tRNA (with a specific anti-codon) for a particular amino acid; and 'wobble' base-pairing, i.e. permitting non-standard base-pairing at the 3rd anti-codon position. Lineage: Eukaryota; Metazoa; Chordata; Mammalia; Rodentia; Sciuridae. The record is from Rfam by way of RNAcentral.
GGGGACCUAGCUCAGUUGGUAGAGUGCUUGCCUUGCAUGCACAAGGCCCUGGGUUCAAUCCCCAGCCCCC